CUUAUUGAGAAGAAGUAUGUCUUUAACUCAACUACAGCAAUCAUUGGAAAAUGCAUAAGAUUCAGGCUGCGAUAUUGGUCAUAGAGGUACUAAGGCCAGUCAACAGAAGAUGGGGAGUCCAUUGUCUUACUAUGACCAGCAGAAAAUGUUGGCCAAUGUACAGGAGAAUGGUUAGGCAAUCUUCAAUCCUAGUGUGAGAUACGACUCCAUUAUUUGUCAGCAGGAGUCUAAAGAUUAGGGAUCGAUUGUUGCAAACCAUGUAAAACGGUUUAAGAUGAACCUCUAUCCAGAAUUCUAAAGAGAAGACUCACCGGAAAGCAAGAGUGCUGAGAGUUUUGGUAUAGACUGCUGCAAACCCUAGGAAUGAUGGUCAGGGUUAGAUCUAUUGUAGUGCUAGUGUAGAUCCUGAGACAAGCGGGUGACUUUCAUCUGACAGAAAGAGUGCAAAGUGUUUGAG
Molecule: long non-coding RNA, 457 nt
Organism: Saccostrea echinata
Lineage: Eukaryota; Metazoa; Mollusca; Bivalvia; Ostreida; Ostreidae
Exons: 4
Source: RefSeq, a predicted model, not a curated record